UAAAAAAAUCAAACAAAAUACUCUUCUAUCAACAAGAAUUCUUGUUGUCCUAAUUUCUAAACCACAAUCCCAAAUGUACAAUAUUUAUCUACAAAAAUGAAAACUUUCCUAAAAUAGAAUUUUUGAAAAAAUUAUUUAAAAAAAUACAAUAUAUUGAUAAAAAAAUCAAACAAAAUACUCUUCUAUCAACAAGAGUUCUUGUUGUCCUAAUUUCAAAACCACAAUCCCAAAUGUACAAUAUUUAUCUACAAAAAUGAAA
Molecule: long non-coding RNA, 259 nt
Filed under: Brassica rapa (field mustard)
Lineage: Eukaryota; Viridiplantae; Streptophyta; Magnoliopsida; Brassicales; Brassicaceae
Description: long non-coding RNA (BRAP_LNC008243)
Source: RNAcentral